ACUUUAGCUGUAUGACGUAAAGAAAUCAAAAGGCGAACUAUUUCAUUUUUAUUUUGUAUUUAUGAAAUAUUGUUUUAGCGACACGUAUUUUGUAAAAGUAAUAUUAAAUGGCGCGUAAACAACAAGUUUCAAUCCAAGAGACCGUCGACAACAAUGAGGACUUCGCGAACUAUCUCGAGGUUCAUUUCGAACAGCUGAUAUGUAUGGAGGUGUACUCGGAGUUCUGUGGCCCUUGCCUGGCAACAGGCAACGCCAUCAGGAAGGGCAAAUUGGAGAUUGGUGAAGACCGUAUCGCUAUGGUCAAGGCGUGUGCUGAUAAAAUAGACGCACUGGAAAGGUUCAAGAACCACAGUGAGCCAGUAUUCCUCUUCAUUGUGCGUGGAAAACUUACCCGUGCCAUGUUCGGACCCAAUGGCAUAGACCUCUGUCGUAUCAUAGAGGAAGAGCUGAAGUUUAUGGAGAAAGAAAGUCAAGGGAUUGUCCUGGACAGGCCCAAGCUGGAGAUUCAUGAAAUGCUCCCUGAAGAAGCGGCAAAAUUAGAAGAGAAUCUUAAAAUUGAAGAGGAGUAUCGCGAGGCGGCUGAGAGGCUUCGCGUGUUGACGUUGGCUGCUCGCAAGAAGCGAGUGAACGAACGCCUGUCGCAGAGCAUCAAGCGGCUGAACUUCAUCAUGUUCUGGCCUCACUGCCACCAGGCGCACUACGACCUCUACGAAAAAUGGGACAUGAUCAAUAUAACUGUGGCCGCCAAAGAUACGUUCCAGUUGACCGAGAAGACUGCGCGGGAGGCGCUGUACAUGAGCGACGUGGACACCAACGAAGCGUGUCUCCACGCCCUCCUGAACGGCAAAGUCCUGGUUGUGCUAUUCAAAAUGUUUGACACUGAUACGCGAGAUUUCGUUAAACUGAUGCGCUACGCUUUAUAUGAAGAGAUUCCUGUCCCCAAGGAGGACGUGCCUCCUGAGAAACAAGUUCCUCUGGUACCAGCUUACGAGCGCUACGCUACAAUCAGCAAAACUGCCAGAGAGAUCCGUCGAGACCGAUACAACGCUAAACUGCAGAAAUUGAAAGAAGAAAGAGAAGAGAUGGAACGUCUUCAAGCUGAGCAGGAUCGGUUGGCGCGUGAGGCUGAGCAAGAGGCAAUCAGGCUGGAGAAACAACGGAAAGACGAAGAAAGGAUGGCGCGACUGGCUGCUGGGUUACCAGCUGAACCAGAGCCUGAGCCUGAACCGGUAGCGGCUCCACCAGAGGAGGGCGAAGCGGGGGAACCUAAAGAAGGAGAGGAAAAAGUGGAAGGUCAGGAAACUGAACAAGGGACAACGGCUGAGGGUGGGGCCACAGAGACUGCAUCAGAAGUAGCCACUACAGUCACGGAAAUGACUCCAGGAGACGAAAAUCCUGACGAAAUACCCGCAGAGGAACAAGUUGUAGAGAAAAAGGAAGAAGAGUUUAAUUCAGACGUUGAAAUAGAGGGGGAGGAUUACAUCCCUCCAGGAGGGUUAUUCGUACCUGGACUGUACACCCCACCUAAUGAGCUAGCUAAAUCAAAUGGACUAGCACUUUUCUAUCCUAAGCAAGUCACGGCAUUGGCAGAGACGAUAGAGACGGAGUACCUGCCACCCCACGUACUCGUCAUAUUCGCCAUUGACAAGCGACAUGACGUGCAGGAAGUUGUGAAACAGUACACGUCCGAGAUCUUAAAUAUGGGCAUAUUUGUCGGCGAGGAUCCAUACAACGCAGAGCACAUAGCUUACAGCAUCAAGCAGUAUGACAAGAUGGAACGGCCAAGGAGAUACUACGACCGGCUGGCGCUGAUGGUGUCCCGCAAGCGGAGCUUACCACUGCUGCAGCUGGCGGGGCUCAAUCCGGUCUACAUCAGCGCUGACGUCAUCAGCGGGGAGCGGGAGUGCCUGGCCAUGUUCCCCGUUGGAUACGGAGACGACUACGUGGAAAUUGAGAGCGUCAAAGAAGAGGAAGUGGUGGAAGUGGUGGAAGCCGCACCAGAAGUUACAGAGGCUCCGGAAGCUACCGAAGAAAAAGCUCCAGACGAAGAGGACGAGGAGGAGGAGGAGGGCGGCGCUUGAACCAUUCAUUGCAGUAUUGUUCAUCAACAUCACGGCGUGCAUAUCAUCAGGAAAACACUACGAUUGGCAAAAUGAAAAAGUUCGGGGACCCCUUUUCAGUACUUACUUUGCAACAGAGAAAAAUUCAAAAGUAAGAAAAAUUAAAAACCUCGUAAAAAAGUAUCAAGAAAUGGGUUUACACGGACUCCCUAUAUCGGACAAAGUUGUUAAAAAGUGGACGGAUUGGUACAACGACUACAAGAAAAAAACGAAAGACAUUGACUUCUUCACUGCGGCAAACAGGAACAGGCUUAAGGCAGAGCGCGAUGCCGACCCGGGCUGGCCUACCGAACUUCAAUGGCAAGAUCUCGGCGUAGGUCUCGGUGGAACUCCGCCCCCACCAUGGGCGUACGUUAUGAAGAACAACGGCCUGCCUCAGGCUUGUAUGACACCAAUUCAAAAGGAAAACAGAUGCGCUAAUGCCACAUGGCAAUUAGUUAAACAGGGGGGGUAUGCGUAUCAUCCAUAUAGAGGAGUUUGUGUAUUCAUCGAAAGUUACUUUUGUCAGUACAAUAUUAAUUUUUUUCACGCCAAAGAGUACUGUGAAGAAUAUUGUGGUGUUGCUAUGCCAUUAUCAUUUUGUAAUAUGGAAACCGGAACUCCUAUAGACUAUACUUAUAUUUAUGACCAGAAAUAAAAAUUAC
Molecule: RNA transcript, 2764 nt
Organism: Spodoptera frugiperda (fall armyworm)
Lineage: Eukaryota; Metazoa; Arthropoda; Insecta; Lepidoptera; Noctuidae
Gene name: thioredoxin domain-containing protein 3 homolog
Exons: 18
Source: RefSeq, a predicted model, not a curated record